UGCUUGAGGUUAACGAUGUGAGCUCUCAGC
This 30-nucleotide non-coding RNA is filed under the name Rattus norvegicus (Norway rat). Lineage: Eukaryota; Metazoa; Chordata; Mammalia; Rodentia; Muridae. The record is from RNAcentral.